RNAcentral lists this ribosomal RNA (253 nucleotides) under Vibrio parahaemolyticus. RNAcentral describes it as "partial 23S ribosomal RNA". It matches the Rfam family "Bacterial large subunit ribosomal RNA", at positions 1466 to 1714 of the family's 2925-position model. The record is from RNAcentral. Lineage: Bacteria; Pseudomonadati; Pseudomonadota; Gammaproteobacteria; Vibrionales; Vibrionaceae.
GGGGGGACGGAGAAGGCUAGGUGGGCCUGGCGACGGUUGUCCAGGUUCAAGUGCGUAGGCUUGAGAGUUAGGUAAAUCCGGCUCUUUUUAAGGCUGAGACACGACGUCGAGCCACUACGGUGGUGUAGUCAUUGAUGCCAUGCUUCCAGGAAAAGCCUCUAAGCUUCAGAUUGUAAGGAAUCGUACCCCAAACCGACACAGGUGGUCGGGUAGAGAAUACCAAGGCGCUUGAGAGAACUCGGGUGAAGGAACU